GUCCUAAUCUAUCUCUUAUCAGAGUAUAUUCUAUUAGAAUUAUAUUAUUGAAUAUUGAUUCUGCUAAAUUAUGCUAAAAUUAUUUCAUGCCUGUAACAUAAAAUUAGGUUAUUCGCGAAGUAUGCACAGAAUCGUGAAACAUUGGAGCAGAAAUAUACGUUCCAACGGAGAUUACGGAAACCAAUUUUUGAAGAGACUGAAUAAAAUCUGUUUUUAUUUGUAUAUAUGCUCAAUAAAACAUACUGAAAGAUUGAAAACAA
Hylaeus anthracinus is the source of this 260-nucleotide long non-coding RNA. RefSeq lists it as uncharacterized. Lineage: Eukaryota; Metazoa; Arthropoda; Insecta; Hymenoptera; Colletidae. The transcript is spliced from 2 exons. The record is from RefSeq and is a predicted model, not a curated record.